Molecule: long non-coding RNA, 2536 nt
Organism: Gallus gallus (chicken)
Lineage: Eukaryota; Metazoa; Chordata; Aves; Galliformes; Phasianidae
Source: Ensembl
GGGGGUGUGCGGUGCGCGGAGCGGCGGGGGGUUGGGCUGCCCGCAGCCGCUCCCCGUGCGUGAAUAGUUGUCGGUAACAUCAACCUGACGUCAUCCCCGGGUAAAAAGAUCCCUCUUUUGUUCUCCUUCCCUCCCACCGCUCCCCCUUCGAAAAUGAAAAGCGUGAACAUUUGCGAAAAAUAAAAACUAACGAGGAUUGCUCUCCCCCACGUUAAUGGCCGCGCACGGGGGGAUGUAGCGCGGAGGAUCCUGCCCGGGCUGCGCCGCGCCGCGCCGCGCCGUAAUGAAGGCGCGGGCCCUUUGAUCCGGGCUUCUGCAGGCUGCCUCUCUUUUCUUAGUUCCCUCUGCUUCCCUUUUCUGCACCCUUAAAUAUGAAUGGUGAACCGAGAAGAGAGGAGGCCAAGAGGAAAAUGUGUCUUACUGAGACUUGCCAGCUAUCCAAGUUGCAUGCAGAGAGACAGUUCCAGCUCAUGCGUCUGGCUCGGACAGCAGCAUCGGCUAUCAAACACCCUGUUGCCUGCCUUGCUCCAGGCUGGAGUAACUGCUAUGAAAGGCUGGUCAGAACGUGGGACUGGAAAAGCACACCCCCCCCAUGUUGUGCUUGGUAGGCUCCUCUCGACAUUAUGCACUGACGUGAAAGGAUAUGGCUUUCCUGCUGACUUCAGCAAGAGGUGGUGCCAGGCUUAUUCCCUGUGGAAGCCAUCUCAAGACCAGCUAUUGCACUAUGAAUCCCUUCUGCCUUGGAGGAUAACCUGCCCUGGUCUUAGCAUCCGUCAUCCUGCAGCCACCAGGAGAGGGGUAACUCCUGACACUGCUCAUACUUUCAUGCUGGACUGUCCCCUUUUUUUUAUUAUACUAAAGGACAGGAAAGGAAUGUGCCAUGGUUUCAUUACUUUUGAGGAGGAAAAACAGCAACAAAGAAAAGAAAAUAGCACUCCAGUGCAAAUAUCCAGAUUUGCAACAUCCCUUGAUUUUUGUCAACAAUUAACAGAAGUGUGAUACUGGAGGCUUUUAUUAAUUGAAUAAAGCCUAGUUUUAUUUUUCUUUUCAAAAUCAUUAUCAUAUAUAUGUAUUUUUCCUUCUUUGUGUUGAAAUUGGUGAGGGUCAUCAGUACUGGCAACAGGCCUGAUGUUGUCAAGUGCUGCACUCCCCUUAACAUCAAUAGAGCCUGAAGAGUAACAAACUUGAUGCAAGAGGAGGCCUCAGAGGAGAUUGCCCUGAAGCAAAUAAAAAUUACAUCCUCUAUCGUUGUCUGUACUUAUUAUUUCCAAGUAUUCAGAUAAUUUUAAGAUGUAUAUAUGAAAGGAAAAGAUACAAACUCAGCUUCACUCUGUCUUUGACGCAUAAUGGAUAUCCCAAAAUAAGGUAUAUUGCCACUUAGGCCUUCUUUUAUGUAACUAGUGAAAUAAAUGAAUAUCUUCAUGGGAGAAUUAAAACUGUGAAAGGUAUGAAAGCCCCCGAGAAGGGGACUGUUGCCUCUGUGACUUGAGUGUCUAUAAACCUAAUGUAGGUCUCUUAUCCAAGUGUUCAUGGUUAGGAGGGGUGAGUCUAGUCCGUAUUCACUGAGAUGAUAAUGAAACUUAGGACAGGACGAUUUGUAAAUGAUAAUAUCCUUUAAUUUCUGUUUAAGGAAGGUGUGCACUCGAAUGGUUCCAGUAACUGUGUUUGCUAGAGCUGUUAGCACCUGAAGUCAAAAAACAAUGUAGCCAACAAAAAAGGAAUGAUUUUUGGGAGGGAAUCCUAGAGAAUGGGAUUUUAGUGGGGACAAGAAGAGGCAGUGUGGGAAAGAAGAAUAAGAGUAAGGUCUUGGAAGAAGGGACAGGAAAGUUAAGCUGAAUAUACCUAACUGACAUAUUAGUAAAUGCUAAUGGCCACAGCACCUCUUCAUUUAGGACCUCAAAGAAAAGUUGUUUUAGGGAAAGAAAAUAACUUCUCUUGUACGUGGAUGAUGGUCCCCUCCUAAACUAUGCUUUUGAGUCAAAGGAGAGAAACCACUGCUUUUAAGGAAAUGCUCAGCAGUUCAGCUGAGCUAUUUAGUGUCUGUUUAGGAGUGAGAUGACUCCUCCCUUGCCUGUUUCUUUCUGUUGAUGAAAAUAAAGUUGAGCGCUGUUAACUGAGAAUGUGAAUCUACGGUUUAUCAGAUGCUAUCAAGCAAUCUGUAAACAUGCAUUCACCUCCCAAUAGCUAACUAAACUGCCAAACAAGUAUUUUCUCAACAGAUUUUCUGCAUAAUGUGAGUAGGGCUUUUAGGGGAUAGAGGAGACUUGCAAGGCCGAUAUAUUUAAGAAAAGAUUAAAUGAGAUAUUUUUGGUAAAUUGCAUUUCCUUGUUAGUCAUCACAUCUCUUUUCAUUCUGAGAAACUGCCCUCUUCAGAUGUGUUCAUUUUGUUUGGCAGAAGUGCUGAUAACUCCAGAUGUUGCUGAUUCUUUUUCAGUUCAUUGCCUUAGGAAACUGUAGUUGCACCUGAGAGAAAAUAGAAGCCAACCUGGAAGAAAAAGAAAAGACAUAUAUAAAGCUUUGCUAGAGGGAAAGGAAA